RNAcentral lists this ribosomal RNA (826 nucleotides) under human gut metagenome. Its description in RNAcentral is "bacterial LSU rRNA". It matches the Rfam family "Bacterial large subunit ribosomal RNA", at positions 2104 to 2925 of the family's 2925-position model. The record is from RNAcentral.
CUGUAGCCUGAUAUUGGGUUUCGGUGUUGCAUGCACAGGAUAGAUGGGACGCUGGGAAAGAAGCGCUUUGGCGUUUCUGGAGCGGACGUUGGGAUACCAUCCUUGCGACAUUGGAAUUCUAACCUGCGCCUCUGAAUCGAGGCGGGGGACAUUGUCAGGUGGGCAGUUUGACUGGGGCGGUCGCCUCCUAAAAAGUAGCGGAGGCGUUCAAAGGUUCGUUCGAUCUGGACGGAAACCAGAUGAUUGAGUGCAAACGCAUAAACGAGCCUGACUGCGAGACUGACGGGUCGAGCAGAGACGAAAGUCGGAGUUAGUGAUCCGGUGGUAUGUGAGUGGAAAUGCCAUCGCUCAACGGAUAAAAGUUACCCUGGGGAUAACAGGCUGAUCUCCCCCAAGAGUCCACAUCGACGGGGAGGUUUGGCACCUCGAUGUCGGCUCAUCGCAUCCUGGGGCUGUAGUAGGUCCCAAGGGUUGGGCUGUUCGCCCAUUAAAGCGGUACGCGAGCUGGGUUCAGAACGUCGUGAGACAGUUCGGUCCCUAUCUGUCGUGGGCGCAGGAUAUUUGAAAGGCGCUGUCCCUAGUACGAGAGGACCGGGAUGGACGAACCUCUGGUGCACCAGUUGUCACGCCAGUGGCACAGCUGGGCAGCUAUGUUCGGAUCGGAUAAACGCUGAAAGCAUCUAAGCGUGAAGCCGGCCUUAAGAUAAGAUAUCCCACUGAGUCAAUCAGGUAAGACCCCUUGAAGACUACAAGGUUGAUAGGCACACAGUGUAAGCGGAGUGAUCCGUUCAGCUAGCGUGUACUAAUAGGUCGAGGGCUUGACCCC